AGCGAACGCUGGCGGCAUGCUUAACACAUGCAAGUCGCACGGUCGGGGGCAACUCCGGCAGUGGCGGACGGGUGAGUAACGCGUAGGAAUCUAUCCUUGGGUGGGGGACAACCGUGGGAAACUACGGCUAAUACCGCAUGAUGCCUGAGGGCCAAAGACGAAAGUCGUUUGAGGAGGAGCCUGCGUCUGAUUAGGUAGUUGGUGGGGUAAAGGCCUACCCAAGCCUACGAUCAGUAGCUGGUCUGAGAGGAUGAUCAGCCACAUUGGGACUGGGACACGGCCCAAACUCCUACGGGAGGCAGCAGUGGGGAAUAUUGGACAAUGGGCGCAAGCCUGAUCCAGCAAUGCCGCGUGGGUGAAGAAGGUCUUCGGAUUGUAAAGCCCUUUUGGCGGGGACGAUGAUGACGGUACCCGCAGAAUAAGCUCCGGCUAACUUCGUG
This 440-nucleotide ribosomal RNA is filed under the name uncultured bacterium. RNAcentral describes it as "bacterial SSU rRNA". It matches the Rfam family "Bacterial small subunit ribosomal RNA", at positions 29 to 507 of the family's 1533-position model. The record is from RNAcentral.